RNAcentral lists this ribosomal RNA (501 nucleotides) under uncultured bacterium. Its description in RNAcentral is "partial 16S ribosomal RNA". It matches the Rfam family "Bacterial small subunit ribosomal RNA", at positions 30 to 523 of the family's 1533-position model. The record is from RNAcentral.
AUUGAACGCUGGCGGCAGGCUUAACACAUGCAAGUCGAGCGGGGGAAGGUAGCUUGCUACCGGACCUAGCGGCGGACGGGUGAGUAAUGCUUAGGAAUCUGCCUAUUAGUGGGGGACAACAUCUCGAAAGGGAUGCUUAUACUGCAUACGUCCUACGGGAGAAAGCAGGGGAUCUUCGGACCUUGCGCUAAUAGAUGAGCCUAAGUCGGAUUAGCUAGUUGGUGGGGUAAAGGCCUACCAAGGCGACGAUCUGUAGCGGGUCUGAGAGGAUGAUCCGCCACACUGGGACUGAGACACGGCCCAGACUCCUACGGGAGGUAGCAGUGGGGAAUAUUGGACAAUGGGGGGAACCCUGAUCCAGCCAUGCCGCGUGUGUGAAGAAGGCCUUAUGGUUGUAAAGCACUUUAAGCGAGGAGGAGGCUACUCUAGUUAAUACCUAGGGAUAGUGGACGUUACUCGCAGAAUAAGCACCGGCUAACUCUGUGCCAGCAGCCGCGGUAA